GACGAACGCUGGCGGCGUGCUUAACACAUGCAAGUCGAACGGUGACCCAGGGCUUGCCCUGGUGAUCAGUGGCGAACGGGUGAGUAACACGUGGGGCAACCUGCCCCUGACUUCGGGAUAACUCCUCGAAAGAGGAGCUAAUACCGGAUACGACCACUUCGGACAUCCGAUGGUGGUGGAAAGUUUUUCGGUCAGGGAUGGGCCCGCGGCCUAUCAGCUAGUUGGUGGGGUAAUGGCCUACCAAGGCGACGACGGGUAGCCGGCCUGAGAGGGCGACCGGCCACACUGGGACUGAGACACGGCCCAGACUCCUACGGGAGGCAGCAGUGGGGAAUAUUGCGCAAUGGGCGAAAGCCUGACGCAGCGACGCCGCGUGAGGGAUGAA
This 385-nucleotide ribosomal RNA is filed under the name uncultured bacterium. Its description in RNAcentral is "bacterial SSU rRNA". It matches the Rfam family "Bacterial small subunit ribosomal RNA", at positions 28 to 412 of the family's 1533-position model. The record is from RNAcentral.